UCUUUGAAGACAGAGGAGAAGAAGCUUGAAGAAAAGAUCACAAAAUUAGAAAAUAAGGAAAUGGGUUGUGACUUCCCACUGUGCUCUGGGUUGAUA
Molecule: long non-coding RNA, 96 nt
Organism: Cucurbita maxima (winter squash)
Lineage: Eukaryota; Viridiplantae; Streptophyta; Magnoliopsida; Cucurbitales; Cucurbitaceae
Exons: 3
Source: RefSeq, a predicted model, not a curated record